GGACCCGCCCGGGCUGGGCUGGACUGGGCUGGGCUGGGGACCCC
This 44-nucleotide microRNA precursor is filed under the name Ochotona princeps (American pika). Its description in RNAcentral is "miRNA (ENSOPRG00000021233.1)". The record is from RNAcentral. Lineage: Eukaryota; Metazoa; Chordata; Mammalia; Lagomorpha; Ochotonidae.